GACGAACGCUGGCGGCGUGCUUAACACAUGCAAGUCGAACGGAAAGGCCCUGCUUUUGUGGGGUGCUCGAGUGGCGAACGGGUGAGUAACACGUGAGUAACCUGCCCUUGACUUUGGGAUAACUUCAGGAAACUGGGGCUAAUACCGGAUAGGAGCUCCUGCUGCAUGGUGGGGGUUGGAAAGUUUCGGCGGUUGGGGAUGGACUCGCGGCUUAUCAGCUUGUUGGUGGGGUAGUGGCUUACCAAGGCUUUGACGGGUAGCCGGCCUGAGAGGGUGACCGGCCACAUUGGGACUGAGAUACGGGCCAGACUCCUACGGGAGGCAGCAGUGGGGAAUAUUGCACAAUGGGCGGAAGCCUGAUGCAGCAACGCCGCGUGCGGGAUGACGGCCUUCGGGGUGUAAACCGCUUUCGCCUGUGACGAAGCGUGAGUGACGGUAAUGGGUAAAGAAGCACCGGCUAACUACGUG
This 468-nucleotide ribosomal RNA is filed under the name uncultured bacterium. RNAcentral describes it as "partial 16S ribosomal RNA". It matches the Rfam family "Bacterial small subunit ribosomal RNA", at positions 28 to 507 of the family's 1533-position model. The record is from RNAcentral.